This 670-nucleotide ribosomal RNA is filed under the name uncultured bacterium. RNAcentral's name for it is "bacterial SSU rRNA". It matches the Rfam family "Bacterial small subunit ribosomal RNA", at positions 41 to 755 of the family's 1533-position model. The record is from RNAcentral.
GGCAGGCUUAACACAUGCAAGUCGAACGGGCGUAGCAAUACGUCAGUGGCAGACGGGUGAGUAACGCGUGGGAACGUACCUUUUGGUUCGGAACAACACAGGGAAACUUGUGCUAAUACCGGAUAAGCCCUUACGGGGAAAGAUUUAUCGCCGAAAGAUCGGCCCGCGUCUGAUUAGCUAGUUGGUGAGGUAACGGCUCACCAAGGCGACGAUCAGUAGCUGGUCUGAGAGGAUGAUCAGCCACAUUGGGACUGAGACACGGCCCAAACUCCUACGGGAGGCAGCAGUGGGGAAUAUUGGACAAUGGGGGCAACCCUGAUCCAGCCAUGCCGCGUGAGUGAUGAAGGCCCUAGGGUUGUAAAGCUCUUUUGUGCGGGAAGAUAAUGACGGUACCGCAAGAAUAAGCCCCGGCUAACUUCGUGCCAGCAGCCGCGGUAAUACGAAGGGGGCUAGCGUUGCUCGGAAUCACUGGGCGUAAAGGGUGCGUAGGCGGGUCUUUAAGUCAGAGGUGAAAGCCUGGAGCUCAACUCCAGAACUGCCUUUGAUACUGAGGAUCUUGAGUUCGGGAGAGGUGAGUGGAACUGCGAGUGUAGAGGUGAAAUUCGUAGAUAUUCGCAAGAACACCAGUGGCGAAGGCGGCUCACUGGCCCGAUACUGACGCUGAGGCACG